RNAcentral lists this ribosomal RNA (460 nucleotides) under uncultured bacterium. Its description in RNAcentral is "partial 16S ribosomal RNA". It matches the Rfam family "Bacterial small subunit ribosomal RNA", at positions 338 to 795 of the family's 1533-position model. The record is from RNAcentral.
CCUACGGGGGGCUGCAGUGAGGAAUAUUGGUCAAUGGGCGCGAGCCUGAACCAGCCAAGUAGCGUGAAGGAUGACUGCCCUACGGGUUGUAAACUUCUUUUAUAAAGGAAUAAAGUGAGGCGCGAGUGCCUUUUUGGAUGUACUUUAUGAAUAAGGAUCGGCUAACUCCGUGCCAGCAGCCGCGGUAAUACGGAGGAUCCGAGCGUUAUCCGGAUUUAUUGGGUUUAAAGGGAGCGUAGAUGGGUUGUUAAGUCAGUUGUGAAAGUGUGCGGCUCAACCGGAAAAUGGCAAUUGAUACUGGCAGCCUUGAGUAGAGUAGAGGUAGGCGGAAUUCGAGGUGUAGCGGUGAAAUGCUUAGAUAUCACGAAGAACUCCGAUUGCGAAGGCAGCCUACUAAACUGCCACUGACAUUGAUGCUCGAAAGUGUGGGUAUCAAACAGGAUUAGAUACCCCAGUAGUC